This 636-nucleotide ribosomal RNA is filed under the name uncultured bacterium. Its description in RNAcentral is "bacterial SSU rRNA". It matches the Rfam family "Bacterial small subunit ribosomal RNA", at positions 202 to 842 of the family's 1533-position model. The record is from RNAcentral.
UAAAGAAUUUCGGUAUGGGAUGGGGAUGCGUUCCAUUAGUUAGUUGGCGGGGUAACGGCCCACCAAGACAACGAUGGAUAGGGGUUCUGAGAGGAAGGUCCCCCACAUUGGAACUGAGACACGGUCCAAACUCCUACGGGAGGCAGCAGUGAGGAAUAUUGGUCAAUGGACGAGAAUCUGAACCAGCCAAGUAGCGUGAAGGAUGACUGCCCUAUGGGUUGUAAACUUCUUUUAUAUGGGAAUAAAAUGUUCCACGUGUGGGAUUUUGUAUGUACCAUAUGAAUAAGGAUCGGCUAACUCCGUGCCAGCAGCCGCGGUAAUACGGAGGAUCCGAGCGUUAUCCGGAUUUAUUGGGUUUAAAGGGAGCGUAGGUGGAUUGUUAAGUCAGUUGUGAAAGUUUGCGGCCCAACCGUAAAAUUGCAGUUGAAACUGGCAGUCUUGAGUACAGUAGAGGUGGGCGGAAUUCGUGGUGUAGCGGUGAAAUGCUUAGAUAUCACGAAGAACUCCGAUUGCGAAGGCAGCUCACUGGACUGCAACUGACACUGAGGCUCGAAAGUGUGGGUAUCAAACAGGAUUAGAUACCCUGGUAGUCCACACAGUAAACGAUGAAUACUCGCUGUUUGCGAUAUACAGUAA